UACGGAGGAUCCGAGCGUUAUCCGGAUUUAUUGGGUUUAAAGGGUGCGUAGGCGGACUGGUAAGUCGGCUGUGAAAGUUUACGGCUCAACCGUGAAAUUGCAGUUGAUACUGUUGGUCUUGAGUAUACAUGAGGUGGGCGGAAUUUGUGGUGUAGCGGUGAAAUGCUUAGAUAUCACAAAGAACUCCAAUUGCGAAGGCAGCUCACUGGGGUAUAACUGACGCUGAGGAGCGAAAGCAUGGGGAGCGAACAGG
This 253-nucleotide ribosomal RNA is filed under the name uncultured bacterium. RNAcentral describes it as "partial 16S ribosomal RNA". It matches the Rfam family "Bacterial small subunit ribosomal RNA", at positions 524 to 776 of the family's 1533-position model. The record is from RNAcentral.